Molecule: unclassified non-coding RNA, 10624 nt
Filed under: Penaeus japonicus
Lineage: Eukaryota; Metazoa; Arthropoda; Malacostraca; Decapoda; Penaeidae
Description: platelet binding protein GspB-like, transcript variant X3
Source: RNAcentral
UCCUCAUCCUUUUCCUCCUCCUUCGGCUCCUCCUCCUCCUCCUCCUCGCUCUCCUCCUCCUCCUCCUCCUCCUCCUCCUCCUCCUCUCCCCUCCCCUCCCCCGCAGCAGCUGCCCCAACUAUCACCACAGCCCGCGGCAUCAGAGGCGCAACCCCGCGUCCCCGCAGGACCGAGAAGCGACUCUACGGCGCUCCAAUCUCCUUGUGGCUCUGGCUUCGGGGCAAGAGGGGCGCCUCGCACACGCUGCUAUUUGUCCUCUUCUCAGGAAUGCUCCGGGAUGCCGAGAAUGCUCCUCGUCCCCUCUUAUGGUAAAGGUUGUUCUGAACCCGUAUCUGUUGAACAUGAUGUGGAGCGAGUGCAACCUUCGCCCGGGAGCGUGGAGCGGAGACAACUCGCCACCUUUGUAAAUACUUCUCAAAAUCCCCAGCGGAGGGUGAAGGGUGAGGGCGAUGCUGGAGCAUGUGAGCGCUGCGGCGGCGGCGGCGGCGGUGGCGGCAGUGGCAGUGGCAGCGGCGCCUGUUCUCCAGAGUGUGCGAUAAGAGGCACGUGUGGUAUCGGUAAUGAGGUGUGUGGCGGUCCUCCUGCGGUCUCCCGUGGCGCUGGAGGUGAGGAGGCGGAGGGAGAGAUGCCUACCUGCCAGAGUGACCUCGUGUACGCCCGCCCAGUGAGAGUGCUGGAGGAGGGAGAGGAUGCCGGCGGGGAGCUGAGCGCCCUCCCAUUGCCGGGAGGAGCGAGGGGAACUCACGUCAGGGGGAGUGAGUGCCCGGCGAGGCAGGGGGAGCCUCCAGCCUUGUCCGACGGCCGAGCGCGUGAGAGGACCUCAGUGUUAGUGGACGGGUGCGACCUGGCUCGGCGGCCGCACGGGAAUGAGUGCCAAGUGCUACAGCAGACUGGCACUGGUGGCGGGUGUGCGGGCAGUCGUAGCCAUGACACGGUGGGGGAGGCACACGCCCCGCGAUAUCCGGGGGAGGUGAUCGGUUCCGUGCUGGUGUUCGUGGGGGAAAUACUGUGGGAAUAUCCUGUGUUUGGGAGUGACGAUGCGGCUCCGUGUGGUAAAGAGGACGGCGACUGUGAUGAGUGGCUAUUAGUGCUCUCCGAUCAGGAUUGGGAGGCAGCUAUUAAUAGUGAUGGUGAACUAGUGACCAUGAGCAGUGACAACGAGAGUGUAGCGGGCUCUCGCCCACCUCACACUUCGACCGCACAACAACAUCCUGAUAUAAACAAGUGCCAAAGUUCUAUAUAUGGGUUUAAAAUAGUGAAAAACGAAAACGUAAAAGUCAAAAAAUUGCUACCAGUAUUUACGAGCUCGAGAAGUUCUUCGAGUCAGAACAUUACCAACUCUGUGACCUUCCGCGUUAAGGGCGACUCGACGUGGCAGACCAACCGUGCCAACAGGAACUCUGACGUGUGUGAUAUGCAGAUGUACAGGGGAUGUGGGGAGGGGGGACACCCGAGCUUCUCUCAGGAGGCUGAAGGAGGAGGCGGCGGAGGAGGCUCCUUCAUCAAGCUCUGCGGCGUCAGCCUGGGGUCGAGGCCAGCCUCUCCUGACCCCUACCCUCUCUUCCGCUCCGCCACCUUGCCCAGGAAGAUGUCGCAGACACGGUACUCGUCCGUGCCCCCGGGGCCUGCGUCUCGGGCCAUGUCGCCCCUCUUUUCGCCCGUCUCAUCGCAGAUCUUCGAGUUUCCGUCCGGGCCAGGCGUUCCGCCGGCGUCGCCGUCGGCCCAGGAGAGCUCAGCAGCAGCUCGUCGGGACGAAUUAUCUCAGCGAAAUGGGUGCAGUGAAAACGCCGCCCGCACUCAGGCGGCUCCUGCCCAUGCCCCAGGGGACACUUGCGAUGCUACUGGGCAGAAUCAACAACAUACUCAGGUUUCAGCUCCAAAUGGACCAUGUAUUAUAAUCGAGAACAAAUCUUUAGAAGAGCAGACUGAAACGGAGUGUGUUACAGGGGAUGGCGGUUUAAGUUCCACAAGCGGUGCCUAUGAUAAUUCUAGUAGUCAGUCAUUACCUCAUUUUUCGGAUGUACCCAAGAGUAUAUCAGAUAAACAAGAUAUAUGUACAGUAUCUAGUAAAGUGCCUUGUGACGGUGACGCGAAAAUCACCGCACCCGAAUCUGUAUGUAGCGUUGGUGGCACAGUUGGUGCCACUUCUGGUGGCCCUGUGGCACCAGGUAGUGACCUAGAUGUGACUUGCGGAACUACCACAUGUUCUCAGCCAAAACUUACGGGGAAAUCCACUGCGAGUAUUGAACAAACACAACCGCUCAAAACCGCCUCGCAAUCAGCGAUAGCUCAGAAUGAUGUUAAUUUAAGAGAGAUGAGAACUAGUGGAGACUGUGAGACUUUUACAUCUCAAGACGCUGUGGUGCCCCUUGAGGAAGUAACGACAACAAAAGAAAAUACAGCUAUUGUCGCACCCCUGCUAGGCGCUCAAGAAGGGGACACGAAACCACCUGUCGACGAGAAACUCGUUAUUUCUGAAAUGCCAGUGGAGCAGGUAGUCAGCCGUUGCGAGGGCGAAGGAAACACGUGUCUUAGAAUUACGGAGCCAGCUCUUCCUCAGCCGCCGAAGCAGUCGAGCGAUGUUCCCUCCAGUUUAUCUCCCAAUAUGUUAAUGCAUGGGCAGACUCCCACGAUCCCGCCCGAACGGAAGUCAGAGGCAGGAACUACGGUUAUCUCGACGGACUUCCGUAAGCAAAAGCUCUCUCAGAAGAGCAGUGAUGUUAUCAUGCCUCGCCCUUCCUCACCGGCGACGUCUCGGGCUCCUUCGAAGGAACCCGGCGAGAUUCUACCGCCCGAGAACUCGUCUCCUUCGGAAGUAGAGGAUAGAGUACCUACAGUUGCUGAGCCUGUUUCGCGUUCGAUGUCCGGCGCAAACAGUGAUGCGGCGAUUGUGUUCGUUGAGUCACACCUUACGAAGGAGAGCAAGGAGGAAACCACAGGGGAAGAUUCUCAUUACAUAUCAUCGACAGCUGAUCAGCAUAUUGCAUUACAAGAGCACGUGCAUGGGAAUGAGAGCGUUAUUAAGGAUAAACCAUGUGCAGCGAAAGAAUCACAGGUGACUGACACUAAAACAGAACAUACUAUCACGGAUAUUGGUGAAAGGACUAAUGACAUAGGGCAACAAAGUGACGCUGAAAUGUUAGAUAUUGCUGAACCGGUGCGGGAAGAUCCAACAAGUACAGAGAGUGCCAAAGUUCCUCCCUCGCCGGUGAAACUUCCCUCGUCACGUUAUACUCAAGCACCGCCUCUGCAAGACGUUUCUACAGGAUUGCAUGUUGCACAGCAAUCUUGUCAUCUUGAUAACGAGCUCUUUAUUGCAGAAGACAAUUGUAUAUCGCAAAAUAUCGAAAAAGAUGCAACUAACGGCAUGCAAACCCACGUUCAGGAUAUAUCUAUCGAGUGCAAUUCAGAAACUGAAAACACCUCACCACCUUCCGCAGGCAGCGCAUCUGUUUCACAGCCACCUGCUUUACCGUCUGACAGUGAUAGUGUCGAGGGAGAAAGUAAUAGAUCGCAGGCGGCGGAGCAGAUACGAGUCUCAGUUCGUGACGACAGCUCAGAAAAUUCGUGUAGACAGGAAUCCUCUUCAGACGUCCCCGGGGAGACACAUGGGAACGAGACCGUGCGUGGCGAUUCCGGAAGAUUGUCUGAUUCUGGGGCAAGUGAUAUUGACAACACUAGUGAUAAGCAGUUAAUAACAGAUAAGUGCCAUAGUGACGAAAAGAAAGCACCGGCUGUCACGUCCCCGGCCUCGCAACGUGACAGAACAGCGAGUAUCGGCGGCGGCAGAGGAAGGACACCGAGCCGAGAGGAGAGUGUGGGCGCGGAGCCAAGUGCGUCUGUAGUGGGUCGUGGGCCGGGUAUCAGCGAGCGUGCGGCGCUCAUCCAGCAACAGGUGUGCGUCCGGCCGCGUUCACGAACGACUCACUUCCCGCUGGAUAUCGUCUGCGGUACUAAGCUGCAGCAUCAACAAACACGUACCAAGCUAGACGCGCCGGAUCGAGUCGUAAGGCAAAGGAACUCCUCGCUAGGUCACGUCCAUCCGCUCGUGGUCGACCGCGACGCCACGGCCCGCUCGAAAUCAGCUUCGCGGAUAGGUUCGGGUAGUUCUGAGGCCGUGUCUGAUUGUUUGCGCGCUGCUCAGGAGGAGAGUGCGGUGCAGGAGGCACGCGGGGCUCCUCAUGCAGCCGCGAAGUCGGAAUCCAGCUCGCGAGCAGAGCGGGCGCUGCCGCCGAUCCCACGCCCACUCAUCGCUCCCCUGGAUGCUGCCCUGAAGAACAAGAUCAAAAUGACAAUCGAUUCGUGUGGAGAUUCGUGCUCGGGAAGCGAGUCGCCUGUCGGGGCUGCAUCUCACGCUCGUGGCGAGUCGGGCUCCCCGGCCGUUGACCGUCGUGACUCGGGAAAUGAAAGUUCUGCGCCACUUAUGAGGGAAAUUGUUCCUCCAAAGAGGAAAAGUGCGUCGCAGCCUACAACGAACUGUGCGGUCCGUGAAGAGAAGAAAGUUCACGAGGAAAAUGAUGAGAGUAAUGAGAAAAAAGUGUUUCAAAAUGAAGAUAUCAAAAGUAGGAGUGAAAUAUGCAAGCCUCGGGUUAACAUUAUUGAAUCUGGACCUGAACUACACGUAGAUGAAAAGAUUGUCACCAAGGAUGUUAAUGAUGCAAUCACGCCAGCAUUAAAGGAUGAGAAUAGUAUAACAAUUGAUGUUAAGAAUAAUAGUGACGCCAUGCCCCCUCUUGCAUUGAACGGCCAGUCAGACGUAGAACAGAUUUCAGUUGUUAAUGAUUCAUGCGGGGUAGUCUCUCAGGCAGGUGUCAGCGACCAAACUGAUGCAGUGACAGUUGUUAGUAAUCAGAGUGAGGCUCAAUCACAGCCCAUGGCCAAGAGCAUGACUGUUAUAAUGCUACCAGCGGUCACGGAUCAUGCCGACGCCACAGCUGGCAAGGAUUUCGGAGUCGAUACUGAUACCACACUCCCGGCAAGUGUUAAGGAGGAGAAUGAUGUCACGCGGGAAACGGCUGUCAAAGACCAAACUAAUGUCUCGGUAUUAAAAUCUGUCAGUGAUCUGGGUAAUGUCACGCCAUCGACGGCUGAUAAAAAUCAGCCUGAUAUGGUGCUACCAACAGGUAUAUCUGACACUACACCUGCCGAAGAGAUCAAAGUAUCAGCAGAAGUUGGCGCAGGAUCCAGUGUUAAGACUUCCAGCGAUGGGGCACCUCCGGCGAGGCCCUCGGCGAAGGAGCCCCACAUCACCUCCCGACGAUCGCAAGGCCGAAUGCCGACCCCCGUGUGUCUCCCUCCCUCCCGAGCGAGUGGCAUCUGUGGCUUCGGGCCGGAGACCUGGCUCAAUGCAGUCCCUCUCAGGUACGGCCGGGAGAGUGAGAGGUCUGCCGGGAAGAGAAGUGGCCAGUGUGGCGAGGGGAACAUUGUGACGAGUGACAGGGGGAAUCUAUCCGAGGGCAGUGUUGUUGCAUCGGACGGGAAUGCAUCUGUCGCAGGCGCUAAGAAUGAGUUGUUCAUCGAAGAAGACCACGUGGAAGGCACGAGCGAAGCCAAAGGAGAUGCCGGAGGGGAGGUAGUGCUACGGCCCGCAGGUGUUACCGCAGGGGAGAAUACGCCGCGUAGACGCACGCGGGAUUCGUUGUUGCUCAGUAAUCAGUCGAAUCUCCUCUUUAUCGACGAGUCCGCCCCCGACUUGUGUGAUCAAGAACAGCCGUCGUCAUCGAAUAUAGAAAUCGGGGAUAGUAGCGGCGUCGACGUGGAGGAGGACGCCCCACCCCCAUCCCCAUCUCCGCCGGAACCACCGCGCCCCCCGCGCCCCCCGCCACCCCCUGCUGAGUUGCUACAAACGGACGCCCAGGUGUGUGUCACGAGUAAGAUCAUUAACAACGAAUGUGGCCGGAACGAUCUACAUCCCUCAGCGACGGACGAGUUUGAGGGUUCAGCUUUGCCUUCCCACGCAAGACCGGUGAACCCGCCUGCCACACGAGACGGCGACCUGGGUGCUUUGGAGAGCGGGGUGUGCGUUCUGGUGACGAGUGUCGAAGAGUUAGCUCCGCCCCCGCCGCCGCCGCCGCCACCGAGGGAAUGUGAUCGCCGCGGCUCCCUACUGGGAAGAGAAGGAUCUCAGGACGACUACGAACAGGCUCUAGAAGUUGCCACGCCAGAUCCUGGCCAUGGAUUCAGUCACAGCUGCACCAGCGUCGCUACGGUGGUCCGUGUGGAUACUCCCAACCAGCAGCCACCCAGCCGUCCUCCCCCGCCGGAGGAUGACGAGGCAGAGGACGUCUUCGUCGACGCGAGGGACGACGUGGCGCUAGUGGCCACGGCUACAGAGACGUUGAGUCUUCCGGAAGUCGAUCAGCACCAGCAACUCCAGGCCUCCUCCCCCACGCUGAUGGAAACCUCGCCCGCGACGUCAGAGCAUUCGGCUGUAGAGGCUGGCCUUGGGACGGGAGUUCUCUCGCAGAGCACGUCAGACACGCAGUCUUCCGGGAUAUCUGGCACUUCCUCAGCAGAUAUGUCAGCUACCUCAUCGCGCAGUAUGACAGGAACACAAUCGACGAGCUCGUCAGGAGGCAUGGCCAAGGCUAUACGACCGGACGCGAGACGCCCUCUAGUCCUGAUCAGGCAGCCCGGGAGCGACGCCCUUGAGGACGGCUCUGUUUCCUCCGGGGGCCACAUGACUGACCCCGACAUGUUAGCUUCAGCGUCGGCUUCGGCUUCGUCUACAGGAUCCGAGGCGUCGUGGACGUCGAGUGGCGGCCCAGUUGCAAGACGAGACCUCCUGCCGCUGGAUGAGGACGAGGACGAGGUGCAGUGGCGCGCCCUGCUGGCUGUGAACCCGCCAGAGAGCGAGGAGGAGCGGACGGGCUACGAGAGCGACGAAGAUUUCGAUACGAUGGAUGCCGAGAUGCGUCGCCUCGAAGAAAAGCUGCGCAGAUUUGAGAAAGAACUGGGUGACGUCCCUGAAGACUCGUCAGGUAACAGCGAGACCAAAGUGAAGGGCUCUUCGGGUGGACCUCCGGGCCCCAUGUUGCGCUCGGAGGACCUUGAAGCUCUCAGGAUAUCCCCGCUGCCGAAGGUGUUCCCUUCCGUCUGCAAAGCGAAGACCAAACACCUGAGCCUCAUGACCAAGCUCGACCUGCAGCAGUAUGGGGAAUCAGACAGCGAGUCAGACAGCGAGUCGGAUCGCGUCUCCAGUGACUCGGACUCAGCAGACUUCUUGUUCGUGAAGACGAAGAUUAAACUGAAGCCGGGAGACCGGAAGUGCCGCUCACUAGAGCAGAGACGAUCCAAGAAUAUGAACGUCUUAAAUGAGUCUCGGGACGCAAAGAAACGCGAAAAGCAGCUUUAUGUUUGUGAAGAGAGGUUGGAUCUGAGUAAUCUGGCCAUCCCAAGGGACCCGGCAGAGGACGAUUCCUUCAGCGUCGGGUACGAAGAGCAAGAGAAAUUUGACAUUCCUCCUCCUCCCCCGCCUCCUGUCGGAUACGGCCAUCAGGUCUGGUCAGAAUCCGACGUCGGGAGAGACCCUACUUUGCCUGAGGGUCAGGACGAGCCUUACCCCCCCGAGAUGCUCUCAGACGAAAUGCUGGACGACGAUGGCACGAUGUAUUACAGCGGCGAGGACCAGUCACUCCUUGGAUACAUUUGGCAGGAGGAGGAUGGCAUGGCGGCGGUCGACUUCGAAGGACUGGAGGACUUUCAGAGUUUUAAGGGUCAAAGCGCCCUUAUGUUCAUGUUCGAAGAUGACCUCGACGAUGACUGUGAAAUCGGUCAACAUGUAGACAACGGCGACGUGACGGAUUACGAGCUGAAGCAACCAGCGGCAGAGCAACAUGCAUGCGACAACGCCUUGCCAGCAGAGCCUCCAGGCGGCGCCCCACCGCGGACGCGCCGGGGUUCGCAGAAGAGCUCGGACCGAACUUUUGUUUCUGCAUUUAAAAACAGCUUGAAGAAAGCUAGCAAGUAUCUGGGACCAAAACUAGAGAGUUAUCAGAAGAAAGAGGCGAGCCACGGUGUCGUCCCUCCGCCAGUAGAAUGGUCGGCUGAUAGUAACAGUAAUAAUAAUAAUAAUGUAACAGCCAAUAGCAAUAACAAUAACAGCAGCAGCAGCAGCAACAACAACAUCAAUAAUAAUAACAGCAACAACAAUAGUGAUCUUGGUUUAGUGGAUGCAGGAACCUCACCCUCGUCGAACUACGCGCGACGCUACUCGGCCGGGCUGGGCGAGGGCACGGCGGGCGUGUACAACGUGCAGAGUGGGCGCGUGGCCCCAACCUCGGCCCUCGCGCACCCGAGUGAUAGUGAAGGUCCUGAUCGCCACUCUUGUAGCUCCGGCGAGUUCUACGCCGCCCCCGCCCUGUGCGUCAACACCUCCGACGAAGAUCCUCCCGCCCCCCCGAGGCGCCCGCAAGAAGCCCUUGGCCAGCCUCCGGCCCCUCCUCCGAGAUGGGUGCAGCGGAGAUCUUACGUCGCCAAGGACGUGGAUUCCGACGCCCUGAUGCGUCGCCUGUCGCAGACCUCCCAGGCGUCCCACGAAGGAUGCUGGUUCAGCACCCUUCCUCCAGCCAACAUGGCGCCUCAUCCCUCAUUCCAGGCUCCCGUUAACACUUUCCUGCCUCCCCAUCAGGUGCCUCCCCUCCUCCUCCCGCUCAGCAAUCAGCCGCUGCCUCAAACAGCAGCGACAGCCCCUGCCCAGACCACGGUACCGGGGUUCCCGGAUAAGGAGAUGCAGUUUUACCUCGUGGGAACCCCGACCACGGAGGUCGACAUCGCGGAGCCAGAGGUUCGUCGAAGGUCCAGGGGCACUGGUGAAUUAGAUGACGUGCAGCAGGUGGCAUUGCCUGUGUCUCCAAGCCAUGCUGACUCGUGCCCGCCACCGGUAACGUGGGCACCCGGUUAUUACGACAAAUGUUUCAAGAUGGACAAUUAUCCGGGUGUGGCUCCACACUUUUGCCCCAACCACGGGAAUACAGAUGCCAUCGUGGAGCUUCCCCCGGGCGGAGGGCCUCCCCUCACGCCGACUCACAGACCGACUUCGAUCAAACAGCUCAAGCGGAAGCAGCAAGAGAAGGCCCUCCGGCAGGAGGCCGAGGAGGGCAUAGAGGGAUGUACCUUCUGCGUGGGCGUCCCCCUGAUGCGCUCGCGCCCCCCGGAAGAUAGCACCCACUGGCGACAGUCUAGCCCGCAUCCCCGAGCUAUCACCGACCGGCGCUCCUGGCCGCCCAGAGUAAGUUGUGUAGCUCCACUCCUGCGCUGGAGUCUCCCCUUCCUCCCCCGCAGUGUCACCCCCCAAUCCUCCAGCACUGCAACCCCAAGACAACCCUGCCCUUUCUUAACAGGGAAUGUGGCGACAGACGCUGAUUCUCCUAGUUCUCACCCACUCCCUGCUGACCCACCCAGCUGUGCUCAGCCUGUGUGUCCCACUAGCGUAUGCUGUGCUCCUGACCGCUUGUUCUUGGGCAGCAGCGACUCACUGAUAAGUGUGAGUGACGUCCUCUUAACCGAGAGCUCUGUCUAUGGCUCCCCAAACCUUACCUCCUCAGAUUAUGACAGUGACCCAUACUGGACGCCCAUAACACGGCCCGUUCACUACCCUAACACUCCCAAAACAGACGUGUUAGCCCCAGUAACCCCUUCCUCGCAGCUGGUUAGUGUGACCCCACCUGUCAUAUCCCCGUGCUCAGCCACUGAAACUUGGACAUGCCCAGUCGAAAAUUCCCCCCAGAGUUCUCCCUCGCAGAAUACGUUCUGGAACCCUACAUUGUACUCUCAGACCUUUCCCGGGAAAGACGCUGGACAGAAUGGCCAAUACUGGUCCCCUGAUACGGACACUCACCUUAAUCCAGGUUAUGAAGGACAGCCAGCUUCACUAACUACAGAAUUCUGGACACCCCCAUUGGACACCUUAUCCUCCGACCACCACUACGGACCGACCCUCCAUGGUUCUGAGUGUUGCCCCUGUGUGAGCCCGCCUGUAGAAGGCAGCACCCGCUUGCCCCAAUACCACCCAGGUACCACACACCUGCCCGAGGGAAUUUGCUGCCCAGCGCCUCCACCGCCACAGCCUCCACCUCCUCUUCCACCCCCACCUCCACCUCCUCCUCCCCCUCCCAAAAUCCGGAGUGCGUCCUUUAUCUGUCUGGAUAACCCACUAACCUCAGUAGCCGUUGUGCCCUUUUGCAGUUGUCCACUACUAAUAUUCAUGAGUAUACUGGAUCUUACGAGAGAAGAAAUCUUGCGGGAAGACUUCACUGCAUGCAGCAGCAAUGCCAAGGACGGUGAGGACGCCGGGCUGCCUCCUCCCGCCGCCCACACUCGCCUGCCGGUGUGGUGGGCGGCGACCAGCUCCACCUCGUCCGUGGACUUGGAAUCCGCCCUCAAAUACAGUGCAUCUGAGAGUGAUGUCGAUAGUGACUUUGAUUAGUAAGAACCGCAUUUAGUUCAAUAGUUGUGGACUAAACCAUGAAUGUGAACUACUCCAAAUUACUCACCAAUGAAACACGCCCACUUAACCUCAUCGCACUUACCCGGUGACUCCUGAAAUGAUCCAGGAGUGUCAACGCUAGAACAUAAAGGGGAAAUAUUUUAGGGCUUUCUUUUCAAUAAAUGUAUUUAUGUAGAA